CGGAGGGUGCGAGCGUUGUCCGGAAUCAUUGGGCGUAAAGGGCGCGUAGGUGGCCUGUGCAAGCGUGCGGUGAAAGCUCGGGGCUCAACCCCGGGUGGCCGUGCGAACUGCUGGGCUCGAGCACUGUAGAGGCAGGCGGAAUUCCGGGUGUAGCGGUGGAAUGCGUAGAGAUCCGGAAGAACACCGGUGGCGAAGGCGGCCUGCUGGGCAGUGGCUGACACUGAGGCGCGACAGCGUGGGGAGCAAACAGGAUUAGAUACCCUGGUAGUCCACGCCGUAAACGAUGGGCACUAGGCGCUUGGGGGAGCGACCCUCCGAGGGCCGGCGCUAACGCAUUAAGUGCCCCGCCUGGGGAGUACGGCCGCAAGGCUG
RNAcentral lists this ribosomal RNA (372 nucleotides) under uncultured organism. Its description in RNAcentral is "bacterial SSU rRNA". It matches the Rfam family "Bacterial small subunit ribosomal RNA", at positions 526 to 896 of the family's 1533-position model. The record is from RNAcentral.